ACGUACACUCCUACGGGAGGCAGCAGUGGGGAAUAUUGCACAAUGGGCGCAAGCCUGAUGCAGCCAUGCCGCGUGUAUGAAGAAGGCCUUCGGGUUGUAAAGUACUUUCAGCGGGGAGGAAGGCGAUAAGGUUAAUAACCUUGUUGAUUGACGUUACCCGCAGAAGAAGCACCGGCUAACUCCGUGCCAGCAGCCGCGGUAAUACGGAGGGUGCAAGCGUUAAUCGGAAUUACUGGGCGUAAAGCGCACGCAGGCGGUCUGUCAAGUCGGAUGUGAAAUCCCCGGGCUCAACCUGGGAACUGCAUUCGAAACUGGCAGGCUAGAGUCUUGUAGAGGGGGGUAGAAUUCCAGGUGUAGCGGUGAAAUGCGUAGAGAUCUGGAGGAAUACCGGUGGCGAAGGCGGCCCCCUGGACAAAGACUGACGCUCAGGUGCGAAAGCGUGGGGAGCAAACAGGAUUAGAUACCCGGGUAGUCCC
This 476-nucleotide ribosomal RNA is filed under the name uncultured organism. RNAcentral's name for it is "partial 16S ribosomal RNA". It matches the Rfam family "Bacterial small subunit ribosomal RNA", at positions 329 to 797 of the family's 1533-position model. The record is from RNAcentral.